Molecule: long non-coding RNA, 580 nt
Organism: Mugil cephalus (flathead mullet)
Lineage: Eukaryota; Metazoa; Chordata; Actinopteri; Mugiliformes; Mugilidae
Exons: 3
Source: RefSeq, a predicted model, not a curated record
UGCUCUGAGAACACAAAAACAUUAUGAUAGUGGUAGUUCUCACAAAGUCCUCUGUGUAACACAGCUCACUGCAGAGUAAGGGACACUUGUAGCUGAUAAUUAGAUAAACUUUCUAAAGCUGCAAACUGACUCAACAGAGGCUGAACUGAGAGGAGACAUGAAAGUUGUGUUUGGACUGUUGUUGCCGCUACUUGGAGUCUCUCAUGGUGGAGAAACUUACUGUGAUGGCAGACAGAGUGGAGCUCAGUGUUAUGGAGCUUUGGGAGGAACUGUGGUCACCAGACUGAUGGACAACGCCUUAGAAAUAUUUAGAUGCAAUGUGAUAAAUGGAUCAUCAGUAAUAUUAACAUGGAGAAACAAAACGAUUGUAACCAAUGUGUUAAAAGACAGAUCUGUCUUUAAUAACAGUGAUGGAACAUUUAGGAUCAAUGACCUGAGCAGGAAUGACAGUGGUCAAUAUGAUCUGAGAAGCUUUGACUCAAAUGGAUCAAAAUUACCAGAACAGACUCUACAGUUGUUUAUUGAAGCUCCGGUGUCCUCUGUCCAUCUGGUCUCUGAGUGUCUGUCCCAUGGAGACAAG